RNAcentral lists this ribosomal RNA (253 nucleotides) under uncultured bacterium. RNAcentral's name for it is "partial 16S ribosomal RNA". It matches the Rfam family "Bacterial small subunit ribosomal RNA", at positions 524 to 776 of the family's 1533-position model. The record is from RNAcentral.
UACGAAGGGUGCAAACGUUGCUCGGAAUUAUUGGGCGUAAAGCGCACGUAGGCGGCUUAGUAAGUCGGAAGUGAAAGCCCUUGGCUCAACCAAGGAAGUGCUUUCGAAACUGCUGAGCUUGAGUAGUUAAGAGGAUCGCGGAAUUCCCGGUGUAGAGGUGAAAUUCGUAGAUAUCGAGAGGAACACCGGUGGCGAAGGCGGCCUUCUGGACAGUGACUGACGCUGAGACGCGAAAGCGUGGGGAGCAAACAGG